RNAcentral lists this ribosomal RNA (118 nucleotides) under teleost environmental sample. RNAcentral's name for it is "partial 16S ribosomal RNA". It matches the Rfam family "Bacterial large subunit ribosomal RNA", at positions 2483 to 2600 of the family's 2925-position model. Lineage: Eukaryota; Metazoa; Chordata; Actinopteri. The record is from RNAcentral.
CAAUCCUCUUUCAGAGCUCCUAUCGACAAGAGGGUUUACGACCUCGAUGUUGGAUCAGGACAUCCUAAUGGUGCAGCCGCUAUUAAGGGUUCGUUUGUUCAACGAUUAAAGUCCUACG